UGACCUUGAGCCUUCUGAUAAGACCUAUU
This 29-nucleotide small RNA is filed under the name Bombyx mori (domestic silkworm). RNAcentral's name for it is "ovarian small RNA-8108". Lineage: Eukaryota; Metazoa; Arthropoda; Insecta; Lepidoptera; Bombycidae. The record is from RNAcentral.